CCCACCCAGCCGCCGCCCCACGUGCCCUGCCCGCGGCGGCCCACGGUGCUCUGCAGACCCCAGCCCCAGCGGGGACCUCUGGCCUUCGCUACUCCUUAAAUAUUGAUCAAGUACCUCGUGUGUGCUGGACGCUGCUUUGGAACUAGGGGUAAAAUGGUAAACGAGACAGAACAAAGUCCUUGCUGUCAAGGAAUCUCCAUCCUAAACUGGCAGACGAGAAAUGAGUAAUAAAGUCAAUGAUUAUUGUCAUUUUA
Non-coding RNA from Microcebus murinus (gray mouse lemur), 254 nucleotides. The record is from RefSeq and is a predicted model, not a curated record. NCBI's taxonomy places the organism in Eukaryota, Metazoa, Chordata, Mammalia, Primates, Cheirogaleidae.